RNAcentral lists this transfer RNA (82 nucleotides) under Albula glossodonta (roundjaw bonefish). It matches the Rfam family "tRNA". From Rfam's summary of the family: Transfer RNA (tRNA) molecules are approximately 80 nucleotides in length. Their secondary structure includes four short double-helical elements and three loops (D, anti-codon, and T loops). The record is from Rfam by way of RNAcentral. Lineage: Eukaryota; Metazoa; Chordata; Actinopteri; Albuliformes; Albulidae.
GCUGUGAUGGCCGAGUGGUUGAGGCGUUGGAUUUGGAAUCCAGUGGGGUUUCCCAGUGUAUGUUUGAACCCUGCUCACAGCA